AUGCAAGAUCAGACGGCCACCACGACGAGCUCGCCGCCUUCCAGCAGCGACAGGUCGUCCAGCUCCAACUCCAAGGAAGGGAUGGACAGUGACGACGACAUAGGGAGGGUGCCGGAGUUCCGGCUGGACCAGGGAGGACCAUCGACGUCGGGAAGGGAGGCAGCGGCCGCCGGGACGUCGUCCGAGCUCGCGCAGUCGGUGGCGGCGGCUGCCCAGGCCAGCUCCCGCCGCCGCGGCCGCAGCCCGGCCGACAAGGAACACCGGCGACUCAAAAGAUUGUUGAGGAACCGGGUGUCGGCGCAGCAGGCACGGGAGAGGAAGAAGGCAUACAUGGGCGAGCUGGAGGUGAAGGUGAAGGACUUGGAGACGAGAAACUCGGAGCUCGAGGAGAGGCUCUCGACGCUGCAGAAUGAGAACCAAAUGCUUAGACAGAUACUGAAAAACACCACCGGUAACAGGAGAGGACCGGGUAGCGGUGCCGGUGCCGGCGGGGACAGCUAG
This 501-nucleotide ribosomal RNA is filed under the name Triticum aestivum (bread wheat). Its description in RNAcentral is "partial small subunit ribosomal RNA". Lineage: Eukaryota; Viridiplantae; Streptophyta; Magnoliopsida; Poales; Poaceae. The record is from RNAcentral.